RNAcentral lists this ribosomal RNA (301 nucleotides) under uncultured bacterium. Its description in RNAcentral is "partial 16S ribosomal RNA". It matches the Rfam family "Bacterial small subunit ribosomal RNA", at positions 509 to 807 of the family's 1533-position model. The record is from RNAcentral.
CAGUCGCCGCGGGAAUACGUAGGUGGCAAGCGUUGUCCGGAAUUAUUGGGCGUAAAGGGCUCGCAGGCGGUUUCUUAAGCCUGAUGUGAAAGCCCCCGGCUCAACCGGGGAGGGUCAUUGGAAACUGGGAAACUUGAGUGCAGAAGAGGAGAGUGGAAUUCCACGUGUAGCGGUGAAAUGCGUAGAGAUGUGGAGGAACACCAGUGGCGAAGGCGACUCUCUGGUCUGUAACUGACGCUGAGGAGCGAAAGCGUGGGGAGCGAACAGGAUUAGAUACCCGCGUAGUCCCUGUCUCUUAUAC